GGAAUUCGCCCUUAGAGUUUGAUCCUGGCUCAGGAUGAACGCUGGCGGCGUGCUUAACACAUGCAAGUCGAACGGGGGUCAUUUUGCGGAAGUCUUCGGACGGAAGUUUUAUGACUCGAGUGGCGGACGGGUGAGUAACACGUGAGCAACCUGCCUUUUGCUGGGGAAUAACUGUGGGAAACCAUGGCUAAUACCGCAUGUUGUGCCAACUGGGCAUCCGGUUGGUAUGAAAGGAGAAAUCCGGCAGAAGAUGGGCUCGCGUCCGAUUAGGUAGUUGGUGGGGUAAUGGCUCACCAAGCCAACGAUCGGUAGCCGGACUGAGAGGUCGAACGGCCACAUUGGGACUGAGACACGGCCCUGACUCCUACGGGAGGCAGCAGUGGGGAAUAUUGGGCAAUGGGGGAAACCCUGACCCAGCGACGCCGCGUGAAGGACGAAGGCUUUCGGGUUGUAAACUUCUUUGGGGAGGGACGAAAUUGACGGUACCUCCAGAACAAGCCACGGCUAACUACGUGCCAGCAGCCGCGGUAAUACGUAGGUGGCAAGCGUUAUCCGGAUUUACUGGGUGUAAAGGGCGCGCAGGCGGUUCUGAAAGUCAGAUGUGAAAGAUCAAGGCUUAACUUUGACAGGUCAUCUGAAACUGUGGGACUUGAGUAUCAGAGGGGAAAGUGGAAUUCCUGGUGGAGCGGUAAAAUGCGCAGAGAUCAGGAGGAACACCGGUGGCGAAGGCGACUUUCUGGCUGACAACUGACGCUGAGGCGCGAAAGCGUGGGGAGCAAACAGGAGUAGAUACCCUGGUAGUCCACGCCGUAAACGAU
This 818-nucleotide ribosomal RNA is filed under the name uncultured bacterium. RNAcentral describes it as "bacterial SSU rRNA". It matches the Rfam family "Bacterial small subunit ribosomal RNA", at positions 1 to 810 of the family's 1533-position model. The record is from RNAcentral.